AAAGAGUAAGAAGUAUUUUUGUAUGUUUAAUUUCCAAUUAAAAGGUGAAUUUAUUU
This 56-nucleotide transfer RNA is filed under the name Oxyopes sertatus. RNAcentral describes it as "tRNA-Gly". Lineage: Eukaryota; Metazoa; Arthropoda; Arachnida; Araneae; Oxyopidae. The record is from RNAcentral.